This is a long non-coding RNA of Helianthus annuus (common sunflower), 272 nucleotides long. RefSeq lists it as uncharacterized. The record is from RefSeq and is a predicted model, not a curated record. The transcript has 3 exons. Lineage: Eukaryota; Viridiplantae; Streptophyta; Magnoliopsida; Asterales; Asteraceae.
GUGUGCGCAGGCGAGACCGUUUUUUAUGAACGAAAUUUAGAUGGCCCGAAUUGGAGCCUUGGGAUGACACAAAUUGGGAGCCAAGGCGACGUGUCACAGGAAAUUGGUUGCACAAGUGGGAAGAUGGAUGACAUCCCUCGGACAGAAACCGAACGUUCCGGCGAUAUGGAGGCUACCACAGACUUGAGCAUGGUUAUAAUGGUAGACCCAGUUAGCUCCUAUGACCCGGCCAUUGCAAUCCACAAAGGUCAAACUGGGCUGGGAUCUUGUGG